This 301-nucleotide ribosomal RNA is filed under the name uncultured bacterium. Its description in RNAcentral is "bacterial SSU rRNA". It matches the Rfam family "Bacterial small subunit ribosomal RNA", at positions 29 to 334 of the family's 1533-position model. The record is from RNAcentral.
AAUGAACGCUGGCGGCGUGCUUAACACAUGCAAGUCGAGCGAGAAAGCUCCUUCGGGAGUGAGUACAGCGGCGGACGGGUGAGUAAUACGUGAGAAUCUACCCUUUAGUGAAGAAUACCUCCGAGAAAUUGGAGUUAAUUCUGCAUAAGUCCCUUCGGGGAGAAAGAUGGCCUCUUUGCUGUCGCUAAAGGAUGAGCUUGCGCGCUAUUAGCUUGUUGGUGGGGUAAAGGCCUACCAAGACAAUGAUGGCUAGCCGGCCUGAGAGGGUGUACGGCCACACUGGAACUUAGACACGGUCCAG